RNAcentral lists this ribosomal RNA (886 nucleotides) under uncultured bacterium. RNAcentral's name for it is "bacterial SSU rRNA". It matches the Rfam family "Bacterial small subunit ribosomal RNA", at positions 505 to 1397 of the family's 1533-position model. The record is from RNAcentral.
GUGCCAGCAGCCGCGGUAAUACGUAUGGGGCAAGCGUUAUCCGGAAUUAUUGGGCGUAAAGAGUGCGUAGGUGGUUACCUAAGCGCAAGGUUUAAUCUUGAGGCUCAACCUCAUUCUGCCUUGCGAACUGGGCUACUUGAGUGCAGGAGGGGAAAGCGGAAUUCCCAGUGUAGCGGUGAAAUGCGUAGAUAUUGGGAAGAACACCGGUGGCGAAGGCGGCUUUCUGGACUGUAACUGACACUGAGGCACGAAAGCGUGGGGAGCAAACAGGAUUAGAUACCCUGGUAGUCCACGCCGUAAACGAUGAGCACUAGUUGUUGGGUACGAAUGUAUUCAGUGACGCAGUUAACGCAAUAAGUGCUCCGCCUGGGGAGUACGGUGGCAACACUAAAACUCAAAGGAAUUGACGGGGACCCGCACAAGCAGCGGAGCAUGUGGUUUAAUUCGAAGCAACGUGAAAAACCUUACCAGGGCUUGACAUCCCUCUGACCGGAUCCUAACCGAUCCUUUCUUCGGACAGAGGUGACAGGUGGUGCAUGGUUGUCGUCAGCUCGUGUCGUGAGAUGUUGGGUUAAGUCCCGCAACGAGCGCAACCCUUGUCGUCAGUUACUAACAUUAAGUUGAGGACUCUGACGAGACUGCCGAGGUCAACUCGGAGGAAGGUGGGGAUGACGUCAAAUCAUCAUGCCCCUUAUGUUCUGGGCUACACACGUGCUACAAUGGUCGGUACAAUGAGAAGCAAUACAGUGAUGUGGAGCAAAUCACCAAAACCGAUCCCAGUUCGGAUUGCAGGCUGCAACUCGCCUGCAUGAAGUCGGAGUUGCUAGUAAUCGCGAAUCAGCAUGUCGCGGUGAAUGCGUUCCCGGGUCUUGUACACACCGCCCGU